GGACUACAGGGGUUUCUAAUCCUGUUUGCUCCCCUAGCUUUCGUGCAUCAGUGUCAGGAGUUGUCCAGGGACUCGCCUUCGCCACUGGUGUUCCGCUUGAUAUCUAUGCAUUUCACUGCUACACCAAGCAUUCCAGUCCCCCCUCCAACCCUCGAGCAGAGCAGUUUCCAAUGCCAUUUCCGAGUUGAGCUCGGAGAUUUCACAUCCGACUUACCCUACCACCUACGCACCCUUUACGCCCAGUGAAUCCGAACAACGCUUGGGACCUCUGUAUUACCGCGGCGGCUGGCAC
This 292-nucleotide ribosomal RNA is filed under the name uncultured Verrucomicrobiota bacterium. Its description in RNAcentral is "uncultured Verrucomicrobia bacterium partial 16S ribosomal RNA". The record is from RNAcentral. Lineage: Bacteria; Pseudomonadati; Verrucomicrobiota.